AAAUGCACUGAUUGUAAGUCGCUCUGGAUAAGAGCGUCUGCUAAAUGACUGAAA
Molecule: non-coding RNA, 54 nt
Organism: Salmo salar (Atlantic salmon)
Lineage: Eukaryota; Metazoa; Chordata; Actinopteri; Salmoniformes; Salmonidae
Source: Rfam